CACCAAUUUCAUCAUCGGCUGCACCCAAAAAAAACAAACUUGAUUGAACUGGAUGUACACGGCGGAGGAGGAUUUUGCACAGCCAUCAGAUCUGGGGACAUUGACACAACAAUCAACUAAUGGCCUAUUCAUGGAGUGAGUGGAAAAAUAUCAGGAGAAGAAUGUUAAUGUGGUGAUGAGAAGUGACAGAGUUGCUGUCAAUGAGGCUCACCUGCCAACUGCAAAGUCACAAUUCACGUCCAGAUUUUGGAGGUCUCAGUCUUUAAGUACUACAUUACAGCAACCCCUUGACAUCUUGUCUGCUCAACCAUUGAAUCAUCAUUAUCAUUAUUGUUACUGUUAUCUUUUCAAUGGAUUUAUUGUGAAAGCUGGCAACAAUCUAAAAUUUAUUGAAGAGAAAAAAUGGUUACCUAGUAAGCAUGGUGACAUAGACUGUAAAUGGAGUGCCUUGUCUGUAAAUUUUCUCCUUGGUUUCUUCUUGGUACUCUGGUUUCCUCCCACAGUUUAAAAAACAUCCAGUUAGACAAAUUAUUUACUCUAAACAAACUUUGACAGCCCAGUAUGACUAAAGUAGCAUUUAUACUUUUAAACUGAAUGGAUGCAGACAGCUGAAGACACAAACAGAACAGGCUGUGCAUCCGCCUUGAUUGUGUUCAUGAGUUUGUGGCACCUCACUGCUGCAAAAUCAUACCACGCAUGUGCACUGGCCUUCUCUUCAAAUGCAUUCAUGUUUUGUUGUCAAGUUCAUGCACAUUCAUUACACACACAGGUGUGUAAAGACCUGCAUGGAUACAAAGAUCUGGAGGCACACCAUUGCAGGUGCACAUAUGGGUAAGACAUGACUGCUGAAGAAAUUUACAUCCUGCAGACCCUCAGAGAAUCUCAAAGCUACGAAGAGACGCAAAGCAUAAGCGUGCUUCAGGUGCCCUGUGAUUGACUGGUAUUCCUCCAUUGUUCCUGUUUCAGAAUAUCAAUUUUGUCUAACCCACGACCUUGCACUUUCAGAAAGGAUUCCAGCAAAUAAAUAAGUAAAUGGAUGGAGACCAGUGAU
Polypterus senegalus (gray bichir) is the source of this 1051-nucleotide long non-coding RNA. RefSeq lists it as uncharacterized. The transcript has 3 exons. The record is from RefSeq and is a predicted model, not a curated record. Lineage: Eukaryota; Metazoa; Chordata; Cladistia; Polypteriformes; Polypteridae.